Molecule: ribosomal RNA, 425 nt
Filed under: uncultured bacterium
Lineage: Bacteria
Description: bacterial SSU rRNA
Rfam family: Bacterial small subunit ribosomal RNA
Source: RNAcentral
GUGGGGAAUAUUGGACAAUGGGCGAAAGCCUGAUCCAGCCAUGCCGCGUGAGUGAUGAAGGCCUUAGGGUUGUAAAGCUCUUUCAGUAGGGAAGAUAAUGACGGUACCUACAGAAGAAGCCCCGGCUAACUUCGUGCCAGCAGCCGCGGUAAUACGAAGGGGGCUAGCGUUGUUCGGAUUUACUGGGCGUAAAGCGCACGUAGGCGGAUUGGUCAGUUAGAGGUGAAAUCCUGGAGCUCAACUCCAGAACUGCCUUUAAUACUGCCAGUCUAGAGUCCAGAAGAGGUGAGUGGAACUCCUAGUGUAGAGGUGGAAUUCGUAGAUAUUAGGAAGAACACCAGUGGCGAAGGCGGCUCACUGGUCUGGUACUGACGCUGAGGUGCGAAAGCGUGGGGAACAAACAGGAUUAGAUACCAUAGUAGUCC